Molecule: transfer RNA, 90 nt
Filed under: Streptomyces phage SparkleGoddess
Lineage: Duplodnaviria; Heunggongvirae; Uroviricota; Caudoviricetes; Stanwilliamsviridae
Also listed under: 1 other name
Description: tRNA-Ser
Rfam family: tRNA
About the family: Transfer RNA (tRNA) molecules are approximately 80 nucleotides in length. Their secondary structure includes four short double-helical elements and three loops (D, anti-codon, and T loops). Further hydrogen bonds mediate the characteristic L-shaped molecular structure. tRNAs have two regions of fundamental functional importance: the anti-codon, which is responsible for specific mRNA codon recognition, and the 3' end, to which the tRNAs corresponding amino acid is attached (by aminoacyl-tRNA synthetases). tRNAs cope with the degeneracy of the genetic code in two manners: having more than one tRNA (with a specific anti-codon) for a particular amino acid; and 'wobble' base-pairing, i.e. permitting non-standard base-pairing at the 3rd anti-codon position.
Source: RNAcentral
GGAGACAUGGCAGAGUCCGGCUGAUUGCGCAGAACUGCUAAUUCUGUGAACCCUAAAAAGUUCCGGGGGUUCGAAUCCCCCUGUCUCCGC